GGUUCUGUAGCUCAGUCGGUAGAGCAGGGGACUGAAAAUCCCUGUGUCGCNGGUUCGAUUCCAGCCGGGACCACCA
This 76-nucleotide transfer RNA is filed under the name Caudoviricetes sp. RNAcentral describes it as "tRNA-Phe". It matches the Rfam family "tRNA". From Rfam's summary of the family: Transfer RNA (tRNA) molecules are approximately 80 nucleotides in length. Their secondary structure includes four short double-helical elements and three loops (D, anti-codon, and T loops). Lineage: Duplodnaviria; Heunggongvirae; Uroviricota; Caudoviricetes. The record is from RNAcentral.